RNAcentral lists this ribosomal RNA (449 nucleotides) under uncultured bacterium. RNAcentral describes it as "partial 16S ribosomal RNA". It matches the Rfam family "Bacterial small subunit ribosomal RNA", at positions 29 to 523 of the family's 1533-position model. The record is from RNAcentral.
AGCGAACGCUGGCGGCAGGCCUAACACAUGCAAGUCGAACGGAUCCUUCGGGAUUAGUGGCGGACGGGUGAGUAACACGUGGGAACGUGCCCUUUGGUUCGGAACAACUCAGGGAAACUUGAGCUAAUACCGGAUGUGCCCUUCGGGGGAAAGAUUUAUCGCCAUUGGAGCGGCCCGCGUCUGAUUAGCUAGUUGGUGGGGUAAAGGCCCACCAAGGCGACGAUCAGUAGCUGGUCUGAGAGGAUGAUCAGCCACAUUGGGACUGAGACACGGCCCAAACUCCUACGGGAGUCAGCAGUGGGGAAUCUUGCGCAAUGGGCGAAAGCCUGACGCAGCCAUGCCGCGUGAAUGAUGAAGGUCUUAGGAUUGUAAAAUUCUUUCACCGGGGACGAUAAUGACGGUACCCGGAGAAGAAGCCCCGGCUAACUUCGUGCCAGCAGCCGCCGUAA